Molecule: ribosomal RNA, 893 nt
Filed under: uncultured Streptomyces sp.
Lineage: Bacteria; Bacillati; Actinomycetota; Actinomycetes; Kitasatosporales; Streptomycetaceae
Description: bacterial SSU rRNA
Rfam family: Bacterial small subunit ribosomal RNA
Source: RNAcentral
UGCAAGUCGAGCGGACAGAUGGGAGCUUGCUCCCUGAUGUUAGCGGCGGACGGGUGAGUAACACGUGGGUAACCUGCCUGUAAGACUGGGAUAACUCCGGGAAACCGGGGCUAAUACCAGAUGCUUGUUUGAACCGCAUGGUUCAAACAUAAAAGGUGGCUUCGGCUACCACCUACAGAUGGACCCGCGGCGCAUUAGCUAGUUGGUGAGGUAAUGGCUCACCAAGGCGACGAUGCGUAGCCGACCUGAGAGGGUGAUCGGCCACACUGGGACUGAGACACGGCCCAGACUCCUACGGGAGGCAGCAGUAGGGAAUCUUCCGCAAUGGACGAAAGUCUGACGGAGCAACGCCGCGUGAGUGAUGAAGGUUUUCGGAUCGUAAAGCUCUGUUGUUAGGGAAGAACAAGUACCGUUCGAAUAGGGCGGUACCUUGACGGUACCUAACCAGAAAGCCACGGCUAACUACGUGCCAGCAGCCGCGGUAAUACGUAGGUGGCAAGCGUUGUCCGGAAUUAUUGGGCGUAAAGGGCUCGCAGGCGGUUUCUUAAGUCUGAUGUGAAAGCCCCCGGCUCAACCGGGGAGGGUCAUUGGAAACUGGGGAACUUGAGUGCAGAAGAGGAGAGUGGAAUUCCACGUGUAGCGGUGAAAUGCGUAGAGAUGUGGAGGAACACCAGUGGCGAAGGCGACUCUCUGGUCUGUAACUGACGCUGAGGAGCGAAAGCGUGGGGAGCGAACAGGAUUAGAUACCCUGGUAGUCCACGCCGUAAACGAUGAGUGCUAAGUGUUAGGGGGUUUCCGCCCCUUAGUGCUGCAGCUAACGCAUUAAGCACUCCGCCUGGGGAGUACGGUCGCAAGACUGAAACUCAAAGGAAUUGACGGGGGCCCGCACAAGC